GACGAACCGUGCGAACGUUAUUCGGAAUCACUGGGCUUAAAGGGCGCGUAGGCGGGUCGUCAAGUCAGGGGUGAAAUCCCGCGGCUCAACCGCGGAAGUGCCUUUGAUACUGACGGCCUCGAGGGAGGUAGGGGCGUGUGGAACUUCCGGUGGAGCGGUGAAAUGCGUAGAUAUCGGAAGGAACGCCGGUGGCGAAAGCGACGCGCUGGACCUCUUCUGACGCUGAGGCGCGAAAGCUAGGGGAGCAAACAGG
This 253-nucleotide ribosomal RNA is filed under the name uncultured bacterium. RNAcentral describes it as "partial 16S ribosomal RNA". It matches the Rfam family "Bacterial small subunit ribosomal RNA", at positions 524 to 776 of the family's 1533-position model. The record is from RNAcentral.